Carassius gibelio (silver crucian carp) is the source of this 2785-nucleotide long non-coding RNA. RefSeq lists it as uncharacterized. The record is from RefSeq and is a predicted model, not a curated record. The transcript has 2 exons. Lineage: Eukaryota; Metazoa; Chordata; Actinopteri; Cypriniformes; Cyprinidae.
AUUAAUAAUUAUUUUAAAUUGGCAGAAUUAUAACUUUUUUUUUGCGGCAACAAUACUGUUAAACGUCUACAGGCCAACAUUAUUUACGUUAAAUGAUGAACUGUUAAACGUACCUCAAACGGCCAACCUACGUUACGUGACUCGCAUAAUCGUGAGACGACAAAUUAAUAGUUUUAUUAAGUUUCAGACAGUGACGGAUGGCUGAAAUAUGCGAAUACCUGUGAAAAUAGAGGAAAAAGUCGUUUCUGACACUGAAAAGCGAAUUUAACAUUUAAGUGAGUCAAAUGAGUUCAAAAAGUGAAUACGACUUUCUGCUCUAAUUUAAACGCCUGCAGUUGUCCAUAUCGACAUGUAAAUCAUACAAAUUACGUACAAUAUAGUCGGACUGCAGGUCUAAAAGAACCGACGAUCCAGUUCAAAUAAACCGGUUCAGUAGGCUAAUUCUCGAACAAAUUUCCCGGAAAAGAAUCGACGUCUCAGGGCAUUUCAAAGUGCGUGCACGCACAGCGAUUGACUCAGGACGCGUUAGUGAGGUGUUUUGAUGCUUUUGUGGUUUAUAAAGUCUUUUUACAUACAAAUUAUAAUUCAAAAUGUGUUUUUUCCUGUCAGAAAAGCACAUGGAUACAUUUGUGAGAGAAUAACUCGUCGAGUGCAGUCUUAUUGAUGCGUCUAACGGUUGGAACAAACAUGGAAUUCCUUAACCCAGCAGAGUCCACAAAACCCCAUCCAAUUGUCAUGGCGAUUUAAAAAUGCCAGCAGAUCUCUCAGACAUUGAUCAUAAUCAAUGGACAGGUAAGGAUAUUCUGGACUAUUUUCCAAAUAAAUUGCUAAUUGUAUAUUUAAUUGCAUUUUUCCACAUGUGGACGCAUACAUUGUGACAUAGUCCAAACGCAAUUGAAAAGCAUUUGAAUUACAGAUGCUUUACACAGAAAGCUGUCAAUUUGUGUCAAGCGUGGGACUAUACUAUGGGGCAUGUUUUUAUUGGGAUAUAUUCUGUAGUUUUACCCCAAAUCUCUCACUGUUUGCACUCUGAUGCACAUCAGCAAAACAACAUUGCAGUUCUACUCUUAUUUACCUAUUUGCAUCUUACCCUAUAUUUUAUUCCUCAGGUGAAAAGCAUUUGGUUAAUGGUGAAUAUUGACCAAUAGUACCAUGUGGCUCUAACUGUUAGCAGGGGAUAGUAGUUGCAUUUGGGGUAAAAAUGACAGAAUUAUUUAUUGUGUGAGGUGCCAAGAAUAUAGGGAGAUCCGGGUUGCACUGUCUGUUCUUUAACACGCAUCUCUCGGAGCGGCAGCUGCCUUUAGUAGUGCCUUAACCUCCAUUGUUCAAAGCAUUUGGCUCCAUAGUAUGGUACCACCUCUAGCAAAAAUUGACAGUUUUCCAUGUGAGGCUAAAGUAAAUUGCUAAAGUAAUUGCGAUUCCCUUUGAGUUUUGGCAGGUAACGUGCAACACAGUGAAAAAACAGACAUAACAGGUAAUUAGUAACACCUCAUGUACUUAUUCUUAUGUUGCAUCUACGCUAACAUUAGUCUGUUUCUCUCUUGUUCCGAGGUCACCGUAGCCACGAGAUCCAGUCUGUAUCCAGAUCAGAGGGUCACUGCAGUCACCCGGAUCCAGCACUUAUCCAGACCAGAUGGUGGAUCAGCACCUAGAAAGGACCUCUACAUCCCUGAAAGACAGCGGAGACCAGGACAGCUAGAGCCCAGAUACAGAUCCCCUGUAAAGACCUUGUCUCAGAGGAGCACCAGGACAAGACCACAGGAAACAGAUGAUUCUUCUGCACAAUCUGACUUUGCUGCAGUCUGGAAUUGAACUACUGGUUUCGUCUGGUCAGAGGAGAACUGACCCCAACUGAGCCUGGUUUCUCCCAAGGAUUUUUCUCCAUUCUGUCACCGAUGGAGUUUCGGUUCUUUGGUUUUCCUUAGUUUGGGACAAUUAAUAUCAAGCCAUAUCAUCGACUUGAUCGCACAGAGGGACGAUACAUCACUGAAUCAAUGAUGAACUGACUUUAACUGAAAACUGAGUGUUUACUGUUGUCUCUUUGCAUUAUUACACACUAUUUUCCUAUUUAAUACUGUAAAGCUGCUAUGAUGCAGUAUUUGAUCAAUAUGAGAGGCUUAUUACUCAUAAUAAAUGGAAAAUACAGCUGCAAACGGACUUUGCUUUUCCAUUUGAAAUUUGGCAGUCACUGUGCAUUCAUGAAAACUGAAAAGGUAAUUUUUGUUCGUUGUUUCUGAAAGUGUUUUUGUUCAAGAUUUGCAAUUGUGUUUGGAUUUUGUCACAAUUUGUCACAUGUGGAAAACGCAAUUGAAAACAUAAUUUGCAAUUCCUUUUGAAAAUUGUCCUUCCAUUGACAGGCUCUAAAGCAGAGUACACUGCUCUCAGGUGAUCUUUGAGUAGAUCUUUGAAUUUUCAUUUUUGGGUGAACUAUAUAUGUUGAACUACCCUAAGCAGUGCACAUCUACCUACAUAGGAGUCUUUCUAUACUUGAUAUAAAUUUAAGGACAUCUUUAAAUUGUUUUACAUUUAAAUUUAAAGAAUGUUAAUUGUCAAUGUCAUUUCACUGUGUAUUUAAAUAGCUAAACAUGUCAAAAUGUAAUAGUUAAACAGCUAGACACAGGUCAUUUAGAAAUAAUUUUCUUAUUUAUUGCAACUGUAAUUCUGAGAUUUUUAUUUUAUUAAUUUUUUUUGCAUUUGCUGGAAACAAAAAAAGGGAAAAUUCCAUGUUGUUUGUCAUUGGUACACAUCAGAUGGCAUUAAAAAUAUUUUUUAACAGUCUAAAUAA